This 261-nucleotide long non-coding RNA is filed under the name Nicotiana benthamiana. RNAcentral describes it as "long non-coding RNA (NBEN_LNC017045)". The record is from RNAcentral. Lineage: Eukaryota; Viridiplantae; Streptophyta; Magnoliopsida; Solanales; Solanaceae.
AUUAUCUUAGUCCAGAUUUUAGAGGCAUGUUUAAAAAUCAUUUUGACUGAAGUAAAUAUGCAUGAUUUAAAAUCAUUUAGCAUUAAAUUAAAUAGGCAUAAUUUUGUAAAAAUAAUUUUACGAGAGAAGCCAUGUCACAAGUCAAGUUGUCGGAUCAAGAUCACAAUUAAGAACGACUCAUUUAAACUAUAAAACUUUGUCUUGUGCUUGAAUCUCGUUAUCCACCAAUUAUGCGCUUGUACUUGAACUUCGUCAUAUAUC